UUGUGGGAGGGUAAAUUCUCCUAAGGCUAAAUAACGGCGAGGAGGACCGAUAGCGAAACAAGUACCGUGAGGGAAAGAUGAAAAGAACUUUGAAAAGAGAGUUAAACAGUACGUGAAAUUGUUGAAAGGGAAACGAUUGAAGCCAGUCAUACCAUCGGGAAAUCAACCUUUUGAGCUGGGUUUCGUGGGUUUUGGAGAAUUUCAACGCCUUCGGAUUCGCCAGAUUGGGAUUUUUGGGUGUACUUGUUCGUAGUGGUAGUCUAACAUCGGUUUUGGUGUCAAAAAUGACUGAAGAUGAACUUUCAUAAA
This 309-nucleotide ribosomal RNA is filed under the name uncultured Glomeromycotina. RNAcentral's name for it is "partial large subunit ribosomal RNA". It matches the Rfam family "Eukaryotic large subunit ribosomal RNA", at positions 289 to 604 of the family's 3401-position model. Lineage: Eukaryota; Fungi; Glomeromycota. The record is from RNAcentral.